GGGCGAGUGGCGGAAUGGCAGACGCGCUGGCUUCAGGUGCCAGUGUUCGCAAGAACGUGGGGGUUCAAGUCCCCCCUCGCCCA
RNAcentral lists this transfer RNA (83 nucleotides) under Ilumatobacteraceae bacterium. RNAcentral describes it as "tRNA-Leu". It matches the Rfam family "tRNA". From Rfam's summary of the family: Transfer RNA (tRNA) molecules are approximately 80 nucleotides in length. Their secondary structure includes four short double-helical elements and three loops (D, anti-codon, and T loops). The record is from RNAcentral. Lineage: Bacteria; Bacillati; Actinomycetota; Acidimicrobiia; Acidimicrobiales; Ilumatobacteraceae. RNAcentral also lists the same sequence under 1 other name.